ACGCGGGCCGGCUGCUGGGCGUGGAGGACGGCUCCCAGGGCUGAGUGUGCCAGGGUGUGGUGGAGCCGGCCCUCGGGCCUGCGGGCAGGGCGGUGGCACCCAAGAUAAGCCAGGGCCUGGCCGGGAGGGUGAUCCCGGGCAAGUGUCGCUCAGGCCAGUGGUAAGUCACCUCGUUGGAGCGGGCGCGAGGCGUGGCAGGUGGAUGCUGCGUGCUUCCCGGGAGCGCUGAGGGCUCCCCUCCCCGGUGGUGUGGGACUUGUCUCCCAGCGGGAGGGGCAGGGGGUAGCAGGUGUGUUUGAAAUAUAGGAACAGCUAAGGGGGAAGGCACAUUUUGCCUGACCCACUUGCCCUGACAUCAGGAGGAGCUCAAGCCGCGGCAUCCUGACUGCCACGACUCAGGGCUGGGGCAACAUGAGCCGGUCCAGGCAUGUGGGCAAGAUCCGGAAACGCCUGGAAGAGGUCAAGAGCCAGUGGGUCCGGCCCACCAGGGCCGAUUUCAGCGACAAUGAGAGUGCCCGGCUGGCCACAGACGCCCUCUUGGAUGGGGGUCCUGAGGCCUACCGGCAGGCGCUCACCCAGGAAGGUGAGGUAGACUUCUUGUCCUCGGUGGAGGCCCAGUACAUCCAGGCCCAGGCCAAGGAGCCCGCUUGUGCCCUGGAGCCCCCAGGAGGGGCAGAGGCAGGCCCCCGGGGAAUGGACUCCCACUCCCUGCACUCAGGCACCUACUUCCCCAUGGCCUCUGAGGGCAGCGAGCCGACCCUGUUGCACACCUGGGCCUCAGCCGAGAAGCCCUACCUGAAGGAAAAGUCCAGCGCCACUGUGUACUUCCAGAUGGACAAGCAUAACAACAUCAGAGACCUCAUUCGUCGCUGCAUCAGCCGGACCAGCCAGGUCCUGGCCAUCGUGAUGGAUAUGUUCACAGAUGUGGAGAUCUUCUGUGACAUUCUAGAGGCGGCCAACAAGCGUGGGGUGUUUGUCUGUGUGCUCCUGGACCAGGGAGGUGUGAAGCUCUUCCAAGAGAUGUGUGACAAAGUCCAGAUCUCUGACAGCCACCUCAAGAACAUUUCCAUCCGGAGUGUGGAAGGAGAGGUGUACUGUGCCAAAUCAGGCCGGAAGUUCGCUGGCCAAAUCCAGGAGAAGUUCAUCAUUUCGGACUGGAGAUAUGUCCUGUCGGGAUCGUACAGCUUCACCUGGCUCUGCGGACACGUCCACCGGAACAUCCUCUCCAAGUUCACGGGCGCCGCGGUGGAGCUGUUUGACGAGGAGCUCCGCCACCUCUACGCCUCCUCCAAGCCGGUGAUGGGCCCCAAGUCCCCCAGGCCGGUGGCGCCCCUGCAGCCCAGAGCAGGCCGCAGCCCCCCGCCCGGCCGCCUCAGUGGUAGUAGCUGCUCAGCCAGCGACCACACAUCCUCCGACCCCUUCAGCAGCGCCUCGACGGGCAGCAACCCCCAGAACCAGAGUCGGCCGGCGGCGUCGGGGCCCAGCAGUCCCCUGGCCCCCAGCUCCCCCCCGCCCCCCAGGCUUCGGCCCCACCAUGGCCCGUGGGGGGCCCUGAGCCCACAGGCGCACUUCUCCCCGAGGCCCCUCGCCAGCGCCCCAGCUCCCUGCAGCAACCUCAGUGCCUACAGGCCCACGCGGCAGCAGCUAGAGCAGCUUGGCUUGCUGCCCCGGACGGUCCACAUCUGGAGGCCAUUUCUACAAGCCUCCCCUCAUUUCUGAUGGGUCGCAUCCCCCCAGCAGCCCUCCCAGGGCCAGGGCUGGGCAUGCCUGGACUGUCUGGCCCAAGGACCCCACCUCAAUGACUAGUAGCUUUUGAACUUGCUUCCCUUUGGACUAAAAGUGCUUGGACAACAUCGUUGCCUGUGUUUGUUCCCAGGCCUGUGACCAUUCACUUGCCAACACCCUCCAGUCCCAGGGGUUCCCUCUCUAGUUUGGCCUAUGGAGCACAUUCCAGAAAGUUCUAGGGAGGUGGGGGGUGGGGAGCUAGAGGACAAAAGCAUGAAAAUGGAGUCCUUUUCUUCCAAAGAGCAGCCAGUGCUUUAAUAAUAAUGUUUCCUGAAUCUCUGUAAUAUAAGAAGGGGCAGAUGCAGCCCAGGUUUCACAUAUGGGUAAACCGAGGCACGAAGAGGCAGACUGUGGGUGUGACCAAGGUACUCCUGUUUCCCAGUGCCCGGGAAUGGCCCACUCUACAGAAGGUAUGGGAACAUUUCGGGAUGUUUCUGGGAAGGGUGGUAAAGGCAUAGUAGUGAGGUAUCCCUGGGGCCGGUGAAUUAGGGAUAAAGCCCCAGAAUGUGCCACUCUAAGUAGUGUGGGGUCGGUUGAAAUUGUAGCCCCCAAGGAUGGGGCAAGCCAGGGUGUCUGUGGGAUGGAAUUGGGCCAGGCGGUUCAUCAGCUCACGUUCUGGCUUUGGGGAGCCUUGGGCUGGUCUCGAGGUCCCUGAGUCUGGGCCAGUCCCAGGGGCUUGUGUUGUCAGGAUCUGGGAACCGCCCUGCAGCAGCGCCCAGGGCAGCCCGAAGCAACCAGGAAGGGUUCGGCAUUGACCUUGCAGCCCCCUUGCAGUCAGAGCCGGGGACUCCAUCUGGCUUGUUGACACCUGAAGCAAGGAUGCUGGACCCUCACAAGCCCCAUCAUUCAUUCACUGUCAGAUUCACAGUGUGCCCUCUGUUCUGGAGGUGGUCCCAGAUCUUGGGGUACAAGGAAUACAGCAGGCACAGGGAGGGCCAGGCAGCCCAGUUUGGGGAGGUCAGGGGACACUUCCCAGAGAAGGGACAGUUAAGGAGGCCUGAUGAACAAGGGCAUUAAAGGUGGAGGGAGGGUUGGGGCCCAGGCUGUCCCAGCCUGACAGAAGUAGGCACAGAAGCCCCUCAAGCAUCUUCCUGUUUCUGUGACCUCCCCCUGCCACCAACUCACCUCAGCAAAUGUCUUCUCGUCGCUCGUCUCUGGCUCAGCAGCUUUGCCUUUGCCAUGGAGGGCUGGGAGGACAGAGCCCUUCCUCCUGUUGGCUUCGGAACCCCAAGAGCUCAUGGCAUCCCAAGUCACGCUCUCCAGAGGGUUCCUCCCUUCAGCGCAUCCCCGUGUUUGUCCAGUGUUUGGCAAAGGCAAAGGCGUCUUUGCUUCUGUUUUCUUUUAAAUAGCAUUCCUGUCCUCAUUUCACUUUUUUCCUCCUUAGUUCCUGAAAGUCCAACAACAGCAACAAACCCUUUGGUUCCUGAAGGUUCUUUAAACCCCGGCCCUGAUGUGCUGUUUUCCUGCUGACCGCCGUAAUGAGGUUAGAACAGUUGGGUGCUGCUGAAGGUUCUAAACCGGAUUCUGCAGUCUGCCGAGAAAGCUUCAGGAAGUGCGUGUGACCCCUGCCUGCUGGGACGUUAGCUGCGGUUUGCUGUGGCUGGAGGACUAGGAGCAGAAGUGAGGAUCACUUCCAGGCAGAGGCUUUAAGAGCCUGGGUGCAGUUGGCCAUGCAGGAGCAUGCCUCAGACGGAGCCCCCUCCACCAGCCCAGAUUCCUGAGAGACUGUGGUGAGCAGGACCUCCCACUUCUUCCCACCGACCCCGCCGUGGAUAAGUAGCAGGAGCCAGAAAUAAACCUUUGUUGUGUAAGCCACUGAGAUUUGGGGUCAUUGAUGACCGCAUCAUGAGCCAGCCUAGCCUGAUACAACGUUAGGACCCGCUCACGUGAGGCUGGGCCGUUCCUUUGUGGGACUGGAUUCCCAAGGGCCCCCAGCCCUGGGCUCUAACCCCAGACACUAUUUCCACGAGACACUAGGAGGGUUUUACACACACAGCAAGGGGCUGACUGAAGAGCCAAACAAAUCCUUAUCCAAGUUUCCAAUCCUCCCAAACCCGAUUUGCCCCGUCUUGAAUUCUGCUCUGGGCUAGAAUCACACCUGUAGCUGCCUCGGCAGCGCUGCUCGCUGGGGGCCAUCCUGAACAUACGGCGUCUCUACCGCAGUGUGAAAUUCCACAGCAACAAUGGGGUGCCCACCCGUAUGUGCUGACAUCAUCUCAGCGCCAGGCAGAGACCCAGACUCACCUCUGUCCGGAGAACUCCAAAGUCGGCCGAGGCACCAACACUCACCUGAACCACCACCAUGAAGAACAUGAGAGAAUGAGAGAAAUAGUAUGAGAGAGUUGCCCGGCGUGGAGCGGGGACGGAUGGAUCCCUAAACCCCACACCAGGGAUUAGGGAUCACAUUAUCCACACGUGGGAUUAUCAGCCACCGGCUGCAAGUGUUGGUCCCCCAGGCCUCUCCUAGCAGUUAUCUGUUGUGUUCAUUUGGUCCUCACCAGACACUGAUCUCUCAUCUCCCAGUCUGCACUGAAAGAGCCGGGAGGCCAAGGACACUUUGCUGGCCCGAGGGACCCUCACCUCGGGGCCGGGCUGGUCCCAGCGCACAGCGAAUGCCGACUGACUGGUCAAGGAGCUUUGCUCCUGCAGGGGACACGAAUACUCAGCGCGGGACGACUUCUCUCCCCGGCCCUGCUCGCACCUUGGUGUGAGCCCCCCGCGUCCCUGCCCGGAGCGCCAGAGCCUCAUCUCCAGGCGCUUCAUUCUCUGGACCUGGUCCAAGAAGUUGUUGGACACAGAGCAUCUGUCAUUCACUUUCUCAGCUUCCUCCUGAGGAGCGUGUGUGUGUCAGAAAAGCUGUCAGCAGGGAGUAUAAACACCACAGACACACCCGCACGAGCACAAGCACAACCUCCUUUUUCUCGUGCUCGCUGGGUUUGGACUGAGGCAGACGUGGUGCGUCCCGAGCUGCUCUGUCCUUCUCUCCUCCGCAGGGCCUGGUGACGGAGCGGGUCCUCGCGCCGCGGGGCCUCGCUGACCCGACAGCCUGCAGAGGACGAGGAGGCUGACCCUCCCGAGUAAGGGAGCAUUCCUCCUGCCCGACUCUGCCUUUGAACUGCGACACGGGUCUCGCCUGCCAUCAGACUCGAACUGCCACACUGGCUUUCCCUGGGGCUUGAGCCUGGAGCUACACCCUGGGCUCGCCCGGGGUCUCCAGCUUGUCAAGUCCCCCCGCGGCCCGCGGGACUUGUCAGCUUCCAUAAUCACAAAAGCCAGCUCAUGUAGUCCAUCUCUUGUACAGACAGGUGGCAGAGAUAUGGGUAUAAAUAUGCACGUUGUUGGUCCUGUUGCUCUAGAGGGUUCCGACUUGUAACAGAUUUGGCGCCGGGCGCUUAAAGGCCUAGUCUGCAAAUGCAGCCCCAGUCUGAGGUACUGGGUGAGGGCUUCCGCAUACCACUUUGCGGGGCGGGGGAUGGUGCGGUGGACAGAGUCCAGCUGUAACAGGCCUGGCCGGUCCAUCCGCCCCCCCUGCUGCCUGCCCCCCGUCUGUCCCCUCGGCACUCCUCUCCUGCCCUGCUGCGGGACAACGGACGGCCGAGUCAGCUCAGCCGGGCCUCUGGAGACGGCCGUUCUCCAUUCCAGCUGCGUCUCUCCGCCGGCAGGGUCAGGGGCUUGCUUCCGGCGGCUGCGCUUCGAGAACGGCACUUCCCGACUUCCCGACUUGCAAACGUCGGCGCGGGUGAGCUGCUCUCGCGGGCCCUGCGGCGCUGCCCGCUGUCGAGGGCCGAGCCCCGCACGGCCGUUCCGGGAACCGUCCCUGCCGGCUCCGCGUGAACAGACGUCCGGUUCGCAUUUCCUUGCGCAAUUAUUCUAGCCCAAGUCCUGGGAGGCCAGCCUUGGUUCCCACGCCAGAAGGGCCUGGAGUCCCGUAUUUCACCGCCAGUUUGGCCCUUCGGGGGUGCCGGGAGUUGGGCGGCCCGUACGGAUGGAAGCAGAUGUGCCCCCGGCUCUGAGAGCUUAUCGUCAAGAGCCUCGCGGCCUCUAGAGCUUGCAUCUUGCUAACCUGUGGU
This is a non-coding RNA of Leptonychotes weddellii (Weddell seal), 5855 nucleotides long. NCBI's taxonomy places the organism in Eukaryota, Metazoa, Chordata, Mammalia, Carnivora, Phocidae. The record is from RefSeq and is a predicted model, not a curated record.